AUCUGGCUGACGAGUCCUAAAUAGGAUGAAACGCGCAUUCUGUAU
Molecule: non-coding RNA, 45 nt
Organism: Schistosoma curassoni
Lineage: Eukaryota; Metazoa; Platyhelminthes; Trematoda; Strigeidida; Schistosomatidae
Source: Rfam